ACUCGAGUGGCGAACGGGUGAGUAACACGUGGGUGAUCUGCCCUGCACUUCGGGAUAAGCCUGGGAAACUGGGUCUAAUACCGGAUAGGAGCCAUUUUUAGUGUGAUGGUUGGAAAGUUUUUUCGGUGUAGGAUGAGCUCGCGGCCUAUCAGCUUGUUGGUGGGGUAAUGGCCUACCAAGGCGGCGACGGGUAGCCGGCCUGAGAGGGUGGACGGCCACAUUGGGACUGAGAUACGGCCCAGACUCCUACGGGAGGCAGCAGUGGGGAAUAUUGCACAAUGGGCGCAAGCCUGAUGCAGCGACGCCGCGUGGGGGAUGACGGCCUUCGGGUUGUAAACUCCUUUCGCUAGGGACGAAGCUUUUUGUGACGGUACCUAGAUAAGGAGCACCGGCUAACUACGUGCCAGCAGCCGCGGUAAUACGUAGGGUGCGAGCGUUGUCCGGAAUUACUGGGCGUAAAGGGCUCGUAGGUGGUUUGUCGCGUCGUCUGUGAAAUUCCGGGGCUUAACUCCGGGCGUGCAGGCGAUACGGGCAUAACUUGAGUACUGUAGGGGUAACUGGAAUUCCUGGUGUAGCGGUGAAAUGCGCAGAUAUCAGGAGGAACACCGAUGGCGAAGGC
RNAcentral lists this ribosomal RNA (619 nucleotides) under uncultured Actinomycetes bacterium. RNAcentral's name for it is "bacterial SSU rRNA". It matches the Rfam family "Bacterial small subunit ribosomal RNA", at positions 89 to 722 of the family's 1533-position model. The record is from RNAcentral. Lineage: Bacteria; Bacillati; Actinomycetota; Actinomycetes.